RNAcentral lists this ribosomal RNA (1797 nucleotides) under Triticum aestivum (bread wheat). RNAcentral's name for it is "partial small subunit ribosomal RNA". Lineage: Eukaryota; Viridiplantae; Streptophyta; Magnoliopsida; Poales; Poaceae. The record is from RNAcentral.
AUGGCGGGUGACUCCGAGGAGCAGAAGUCCGAGCUCUUCAACAUGGUUAAGGAGAUCAUGUCCCUGCACAGGGAGCGCACGGACCUGCUCGCCGCCCUCACCCCCGGGGUCUCCGUCUGGAAGCGGCGAGGGCCAGGAGAAGAGGCCCUAGUCCGGAGGCUCGCCGGAAGGGACUACACGGCCCCCGUCCAGGGCCAGGUCAAGGAGAUGGAGACGGAAUCGGCCUCGACGGCGGAACAACUAGAGCUAGGGAGGUGCUUUGAUUCUAUCGUCCAGGACACGGGGGACCUGGGUCACCGGAUGCUGUCCAUGGCGUACGCUGUGGUCAAACCCGAUAAUGGUGCCGCCCUCUCCUCGUACAUGGCCGACGAGCUGGUUAACUCGACGUCCGCAUUAAUGCACGCCUGCAAGGAGCUGUACCAAGACACCACCGACGAUAAUGAGCAGGCGGCAGCAGAGGAGGAGCAGAAGAACACAUUAUUCUUGGAUCUCUGCGACAAGUUCCUGAGAGAACCCUUGAGCUACGAGAACGAGUUGGCGUUAGUGGUUACCAGGGAGGAGGUGGAGGAGUACGAGCAGGAGGUGGAGAAAAAGAAGAAAAUGAAGGAGGAGCUGCGUCAGCAGAGCAUGGCAUAUUGGAAGCAAUGGGAGGAGAGACAGAAGCAGAGGGAUAGGUACGAGAGGGAGAAGGAGAUGGGAAACGUGGAGGAGUAUGAGUUGAGGUGGGCGAAGGCAAAGGCGAAGGAGAAGGAGGAGAAGAAGAGGAGGGAGAAGGACCAGGAGGAGCAGAACAAGGAGGAGGCCACAAUGGAGUAUCUCAAGACGGGGAUGGAGGCGACCGGGGAAUUAUUCGCGGAUUAUCGGUUCGGUUGGGAAACCCGAUGCGGCAGCAAGGGUGUAAGGUGCGGCGGCUUCCGAGACACAACGACAUUGAGCCCUAUGCAUUUUACGCAUUACACACCCAAUACCAUCCGAUCCUCAUGUGGUGUCACUGGGAGCACCUUGCAGAUCUACUCCAUCAGAAUUCUUGAACUAAAAAGAGGAUUGAACUGGCCACUCAAACUGUACGGAGUGGUAGCUGCUCGAGACACGGUGGAUCGCAACCGCAACAUUGUCUUCUCUCGGUCAAGUCAUUACUCUCAAGAACUCAAUGAAGAUGGCUCUUCUUUAUGUCUGACUGGCCCGUCUCGUGCAAUUGUAGCUCUGGGCCCUGUUGACUUUGAAAUUGAACUGAAAAUAGAAGAGGGAGAGGAGUCCCAAGAGAAAGAAUUGAUCACUCUGAGCAAGCGGUAUGACGGUACAAGUACCUCCCUCAUGUUCGAGAACAGUUUGUGUGUAGCGGAGUUAAAAUUUAAGCAGAUUACUGAAGCGGUCCAGGCCACCGUCAUGGGUGUAUGCCUUGUUGAAGGGGACUGGCCUUUUGAACAUGGAUGCCGAGUUGCUUGCUUCUUAUCUGCUGCUGCAGAUGAAGUUGUGGCUGAUGCAGAUGAAUUUGUGUUGCUUGAUUGUCGCGGUGAUGAUGAAGAAGUGCGUGUAGGGUCAGACGGUUACCUUCAUCUGUCGAGGAAUGUUGUGUCGGUGCAAUCACAAGGAACAUUGGUAGUUGUCAUACGAACCUACUUGGAGUCCGGUCAGGCUGCUCAAGAUUCGAAGGUCGAAUUCCCUGCCAAGCUUUGCCAAACUAGUGAGAGUGAAUGUUCAGUUGGCAACAGUAAGGUGAAGAUCGUUGUUGCUUGGUCCCUCCUUGUCAAGGAGAAGCAGGACCUCCUGCUGGAUUGCCCAGCGGUAGAGCCUUGA